AUUAGGCAUGCAAGUCGAACGGUAUAAACCUUCGGGGUUUAGAGAGUGGCGAACGGGUGAGUAACACGUAGGUAAUCUACCCUCAAAAACGGGGGACAACCCAGGGAAACUUGGGCUAAUACCGGAUGCGUGCAAGCAAUGUUUGGCUGUUAAUGCUAUUCACGGAAGUGAGUAGUGUUAAUGGUUGAGAGCAUUAUUUGCAUAAAAGGUGGCAUAUGCUGCCGUUUGAGGAUGAGCCUGCGUCCUAUUAGUUAGUUGGUGAGGUAAUGGCUUACCAAGGCGAUGAUAGGUAGGCGGCCUUAACGGGUGGUCGCCCACACUGGGAUUGAGAGACGGCCCAGACUCCUACGGGAGGCAGCAGUCGAGAAUAGUCUACAAUGGACGGAAGUCUGAUAGUGCGACGCCGCGUGAACGAAGAAUCCCUUCGGGGUGUAAAGUUCUUUUAUACGUGAGCAGUGCCCUUUAUAUGAAUAGUAUAGAGGGAGGGAUUUAAGCGUAUGAAUAAGCAACGGCUAACUCCGUG
This 523-nucleotide ribosomal RNA is filed under the name uncultured bacterium. RNAcentral's name for it is "bacterial SSU rRNA". It matches the Rfam family "Bacterial small subunit ribosomal RNA", at positions 48 to 507 of the family's 1533-position model. The record is from RNAcentral.